CCCAGACAGCCGCCAACUCCGAUCACUCUGGCCGACGUUUCAACAACCACGGGGCGUCUCACAGACCCCGCGGUUUCCUGUCCUCCCCACGCCCAGGAACAAGCACCACGCCAACCCUUAAGUCACUGCGAGUCGAAUCGCCGUUCCCCUUAAGCGGUGCUUCUACCUGCGGUCCCCACCGUUUGAAACAAACUCCCAGCUCAGGGAUCACCUUAAAAGGAUAGCCUUCCUGACUUCCAGGGCCAAAUCGGUAACUCCCUCUUCAAGCGCUGCCUAAGCACUCACGCGUGCUCACUGCAGCACUCGUCUCUGUAUUUUAAGGUUUGUCUACUCUUCACCCCACCCCAACUCCAAACGAUGACCUUCAGUCAGACUUCAUCUUCAAAUUUGACGCUGGCCCCUAGCACCAUUCUCUAUACAGGAAAUAAGGUGUUGUUCAAUGAAUGGAAUUUCAGUGUCCACGAGAAAGCCCAAUACCUACACAUCCAAUUCCCAUUAUCAAAUGUUUGCACAAGAAUCGCAAAUUAAAG
Molecule: long non-coding RNA, 530 nt
Filed under: Homo sapiens (human)
Lineage: Eukaryota; Metazoa; Chordata; Mammalia; Primates; Hominidae
Description: non-protein coding lnc-RPP40-2:2
Source: RNAcentral